AUUCUGAAUGAGUUCAUUGAUAGUCUGAGGCUCUUCAGUAUUAACAUCUGCUGAAAAGACUCCUUGAUUCAUAUCAGCUCUUCCCACAACAAUCAAGUCAUGAAGCUUUUCCUACAGUGAACACAUUUUCAAAGAAGCUUCUACCAGUAACAUUCCCAUCAGCCUACAAGUAUAGACGAGCAUCAAAGCAUCAGGAGGAGUGGAACUCUGCAAAAACUUGAGUUUAUUAAAGAGGAAAGAAAGAAGAUGGGAGAUCCAGAACCCUGCAGAAUGAAACACGCUGAAGAUAAUGAAGAACAAACAGAGCUAAUGGAAGAGAAUGAGGAGAGUGAAGAACUGAGUAAAGUGGAGGAGAAACAUCAUGUCAAACCUGGAGAAAAACCUCAGAGUCACUCAAAGACUAAAAAGCCAUUUUUAAAGAAAAGAAAAGCCAAAGAAUCUUUCACCUGCACUCAGUGUGGAAAGAGUUUUGCACACAAUCAAAGUCUUAAGCGUCACAUGAAUGU
Long non-coding RNA from Cyprinus carpio (common carp), 506 nucleotides. RefSeq lists it as uncharacterized. The transcript is spliced from 3 exons. Lineage: Eukaryota; Metazoa; Chordata; Actinopteri; Cypriniformes; Cyprinidae. The record is from RefSeq and is a predicted model, not a curated record.